GUUCCAGUCGUCUAGUGGCCCAGGACGUCUGCCUUUCACGCAGAAAAUCGCGGGUUCGAGUCCCGCCUGGAACACCA
RNAcentral lists this transfer RNA (77 nucleotides) under Terriglobia bacterium. RNAcentral's name for it is "tRNA-Glu". It matches the Rfam family "tRNA". From Rfam's summary of the family: Transfer RNA (tRNA) molecules are approximately 80 nucleotides in length. Their secondary structure includes four short double-helical elements and three loops (D, anti-codon, and T loops). Lineage: Bacteria; Pseudomonadati; Acidobacteriota; Terriglobia. The record is from RNAcentral.